RNAcentral lists this signal recognition particle RNA (265 nucleotides) under Dehalococcoidia bacterium CG2_30_46_9. Its description in RNAcentral is "signal recognition particle sRNA large type". It matches the Rfam family "Bacterial large signal recognition particle RNA". Rfam says of the family: The signal recognition particle (SRP) is a universally conserved ribonucleoprotein involved in the co-translational targeting of proteins to membranes. Archaeal SRP consists of a 7S RNA and homologues of the eukaryotic SRP19 and SRP54 proteins. RNAcentral also lists the same sequence under 1 other name. Lineage: Bacteria; Bacillati; Chloroflexota; Dehalococcoidia. The record is from RNAcentral.
CCGUGCUAGGCGGGGAGCUAGCGGUGCCCUGUACCCGAAAACCGCUAUAGCGGGGCUGAAUCCCUGCUUGAGGUUUACAGCUUGCAGAUUAUCUAUGUUAAGUGGCGUUGAUAGUUGGGUUCUAUACAACCAGACGCUACGAAUCCCGCCAGGUCCGGAAGGAAGCAGCGGUAAGUAGCAUUUCUGGUGUGCUAUAGAGUUGCCUGGCUGGAGCUGGCUGGCAAAAGACAUCUAGCAAGUUUAGGAAUCGAGGGCAGGUGCACGG